This is a long non-coding RNA of Felis catus (domestic cat), 4789 nucleotides long. RefSeq lists it as uncharacterized. The transcript is spliced from 5 exons. The record is from RefSeq and is a predicted model, not a curated record. NCBI's taxonomy places the organism in Eukaryota, Metazoa, Chordata, Mammalia, Carnivora, Felidae.
CUGGCACAGGUGCUCUGGGCAGCCCCCCCUCAGAGGGCUUUCCAGAACCACUGCCCAAUUGUCGCAGGAGGGGCCGGGACCUCUGUGAUGUAAGAGUGGCGAAGGAACCGCACCCAGAUUCCGGAGCCUUCUGGCCCCACCCGAGUUCCCAGAGACACAGGCCGGGCACCAGCGAGCUGUGAGGAGAACGCAGGGUCCCAGGGGCCCAUCUCCUCCGCCUGACCUGCCCAGACACACCUGGGUGGCGCUGGGCUCUGAGGAGACAACAGGAAGGCUUUGUUCCUGGCCUGGCUGAGACUGUCUCUCCCGGCCACUCCAGGAAGAGACCUGCCCUUUCAGGGGCUCAGUUUAUGGUGGAGGGAGGGGGACAGACAAUCAGCGCUCACCCUCAGCGAGACAAGCAGGAGUCAACAAGGCCGCGAGACCCCCACCAUGUCCCAGAGACCUGUGCCACCGGGCUUUUAUUUAUGAAGUGACAGCUGGAGGCCAUCGCUUACCGGGCUGGUGGGAUCAGGGGUGCAGCACUCACGGGCCUCACUUUUGUCACAGGCCCCUCAGAGCAGGAGCCUGGGCCCCUGGGGAUGCCUUCCAUCAACGCCUCCCAGGACUUAGGGCUCCUGGGCCAGACUCUCCACAGAAGCAGAUAGUUUUUGUCAGGGUCCAAACACCGAUGCAGAUCCACCCCAGACGGUCAGCUACCCCCGGUCACCGAAGUUUCACCGUCCCCUACGGGAAGGGAAGGCCCUUCUCUUACCUUUGCUAGAGUGUCCACGACGCUCACCAGUGGCUGCUUCGCAGGAUAUUUGGCCAUGUCCCACUCAAAGUGGGUCACGAAGGAUGUUAAGUCAACUGGAAGAAACACAUUUCAACAAAUGAGCGGGGCUCUCCCCAUCUGGUUGAGACCGAGGUUGCCACACCCCGGGCCAAGCGUCCCCCCUUGAACCGAGAGGAGCUGGAGGGCAGGCUGGGGGCUCUGGGGAAACACUGUCCCCGGGGGAGCAGGGCACCGAGGCAGCGGGCUGGCCUCCGGCAAGGACCCUCAGCGGCACCCACAGCCCCUCUGGAAAGCCCGCCACCAGCCCCGGGGCCGCUGGACCCGGUGCACUCCUGUACCCCAAACUCUCUCGCAGAGAUCUGCAGCGGGGAGAUCCCGCUUUCCCAAGAGGAGAGCUUCUGAGGGCCGGGCUGAUUCCCCGUCUUUUCCUGCUGUGUAGGACACACACCCCUGCUGGGUGGUUGUUCUGUUUUGAAGUACCUCCAAGAUAAGACUCGCCAGAGAGCCUCCAGCCAGCCCUCCAAGACCACAGAGCCAGUUAGGGUGCCGCCUGCCCUCAGGGCGAGCUGCCUUCUCGCCUCCCUCGUCCAAGCCCUGGACGGAGUGGAUUUCCACACACGUGGUCUGUUUUAAAGAAGGCAUGUCGAACCCUGGAAAAAUACUCGAAGCUGCGACUGCCGUUUUUACCCCCCGGGGUGGGGGUGCCCUGGUCACCGUAUGUCCUUUAUAUAAAAGUCUAUAUACAGGGAGUAGACGAAGCCGGUGUUUUCCCACCACGUGUCCCUUCUCCCCUUACUUUCUCCAGAAACAGACCUGAACCUGCCGCCCUCGGGAGGUUUCUGGUUCCCUAAUCAGCCGCGGGCGGAGGAGCUCUGGAGUCUGAGGUCAGACAAGCCACACUUGAGUGGCCCUGGGCGGAUCCCGAGACCCGGGGCCUCGAGCACAUUAGCAUCUAAGUCCCUUUGCACCUCAGUCUCCCGACCUGAGAAAUGGGGCAGGGAAAGGAGGCCACACGGCCCUCCGAGCGCCUCCUCCUCAGAUCAGCUCCACGCACACUUAGGGAGUGCUCCCGGGGGCCAGCUGCUGGAGACACCCAGCCUGUUCUCCCGCCAGUAAGUCAGGUCAGCCUAUGCAAUGCUGACACAGCCCCCCAGGAUCCCGUGAGCCUGUGCAAGACCAGCCUUCCUAUGCUAGAUUCUCACCCCGGGAUAUGUGCGCGUCUGCCCUUCCCAGUACGUCCUUGGGCGGAUAAAAGGGACACUUUUGCUCACUCGAAGGUCAGUCACUUACGCUGAACGUCAGCGCGCUACCCUGAGGGGAGGGACAGACCACACCCCCUAAUUUCAAGGUGCUCAGUUUCUUAGAGAGACAGCCAGGCAAACGUCAAACCACAGUGAGCGGUAACAGAGUGUAUCAGGGCGCUAAGGGUGGGAGAGACGGUGUCUGGCUCCCAGGGAGGGCACGGAGGGCGGCCACGGGAGCUGGAGGUGACCCGAGUUUGCCAUGUGGCCAGCGGGGGAGGGCGCUGGGUGUUCGCGGAGGGCGCCUGGGGGACAUCCUGUGUGGGGCAUGGGAAUCUCUGGGACAACCCAGUGGAGCAGGAGGGCCAGGGCAGGGUCAUGGAAGGCGGCAUCUGCACUUUCUCCCUGUGGCGAGCAAGACACCGGGGCGCAGCUCCGGAGCCCCCCAUGAUGUGCCAGAGAUCGGCCCCACAGCGACUCCAACAGCGGGGCUGAAAAGGUCAUCGAGCGGGCCGGGACACCAAGCAUCCAGCGGCUACGCAGCCAGUCAAGGGCACGCACACGCUGAGGUUUCUGGGGGCCUUGCGGGAGAGAGGUGCAGGCGUGGGAGACAAGAAGGCGCAGCUAAGAGGGGCCACAGCUCUGGGCGCAGAAAAGGGAGGGCCGGCCCAGCAGGGUGCGGACACCCUGGCCAAGGAGGCCAGGUGGAGGGAGGGGACAUGCAUUAAGCCGGGCAGCAUGGGGCAGAGGGGAGAGGAGAUGGGCUCAACCAGGGGCAAGUUCGAGGCUGAUAAUGACCGCAGACGACUCCCCAGGAGGCACGUGGAAAUGAAACGGGGCUCGGAGGAGCGACCCAGCCCUGCCGGCAGAGGCAUGAGCGCACAGGAAGUUGAAAGCGCCUUAUAUAAGGACGCCAUCGCCGCCCAUCACAGCCGUGAGGGCGGGGGACGCUGACUGCCCACCUUGGCCAGGACACAGGAAUUACUUCAUUCAACCGAGCUUUCAACCCUAUUAAGUACUGUUAUCUUCCCCACCUUAGAGGUGAGGGGAUCGGCACAGGGUAGUUACCUAACUAACACCCACUACGAGAUGAGACGGUGACCACGGAGCACGUGAAGGACCACGGUCCCCCGCGGCCCGCCCACGGUCAGGUCACAGCUCCCCUGUGGGGGAGCAGGGGGCUCGUGGCCCAUCUGCGCAAGAACCACAUGCUGAUGCGUCUGGGCCACUCGCACCUAGAAGAUGGCCUUCAGAUUCCCACGGUGCCGGAAUAGACAAGAGGCACCAAGGUGGGGCCCUGAUCCGAUAGGACAAGCGUCCUUAUAAGGAGAGACACCAGAGAUCGAUCUCUCUCUCUCUCCCUCCCCAUGGGCUCACACCAAGGAGGCAGCAAAGGAACCAACCUCCCGGCGCCUUGACCUUGGACUUCCAGCUUCCAGAACUGCGGGAGAUAAAUGGCUGCUGUCCACCUCCAGCACCCUGCGGGCACACCCCUGCCCAAGCCGAGCCACCUCCAGCCCCUCGCUCUCUCUCCCGCUGCUCUCGCCCUUCAACAUCGGGACAGGGGCCGGCUCCUGCAAGCCCGCCGACCACGCCUCCUCCUCCUGGCCUCGGCACGCACCUGUUCCAUGACGCUCGUGAUGCUGCAUGACCCCCCCCCCCCCCCGCCGUUCUCUUUCGGGCUCCUUGAGGGGCAGAUGACAGUCUCCGUGUCUCCAGAGCCUGUCUCAGCGCCCAGCACAGAGCGAGGGUUCCAUAUGCGAGUCUCCCUCCUAACUCUCGGCGACUGUACUAACUCGAGCUAGCUGGGUGGCCCGGGAGAGAUACAUUUGGACCACGCCCAUCUCCACGCACGGUCACAAAUUCUAAGGCCUUCAUGGCACAGCAGAGAGAACGAGGUGCCUCUUUCCUCUAGAAGAGCUCCUCCCAUUCCUGCAAGACUCUGACCAUCUCCUUGAGUGGCUCCUGAGCGUUCGGCCUCCGUCCCGUUCCCAUCACAGCGCGGGUGGAACUGCGGGGCUGUCCCCUUGGCCCCGAGCCCUCGGAGAGCAGUCACCUCCACGUGCCCAGCAGCCAGCACGGCGCCUGGGACUUGCCAGCCAUGUGGGAGUGGCCGCGAAUGAAGAGGCUGCAGAUAAGGGGACUGUGCAGACCUCCCUGCAGAGGCCUCUGGAGACCUCUGGGAUGUGACUGUGACCUCCCCUCCUCGGACACCUCCCUUCCCAAGUCCGGAGCACCCGCUCCAGACGCUGCCCCCUGCCCUGGGUCACGCAUCCAAGGACAGCAUUGCCCUGUCCGCGCCCAUCACCUCUGGUGACAACAUGGCCUGAGGCCGGUCCUCCGUCUCAGAAAGCCACGGCCCCCUUGGGUCUGCCGGUCCUUCCAAUACGGCAGCCUUCUGCCUGCCCAGGGAAGAACCGCCUCCCCUCCCCUGGCUGAGGUCAGAGAGGCCUGGCCUCCAAGGGAGCAACUCGGGGCUGGGGCUGUUGGCCAAGGUCGAGGUCAGACCGUCAACAGCAGCUCGUGAGCAACCGUGAUGUCAUCUCAGAACCCAAACAAGGCCUUCCCGGCAGGCAGAACGAGGGACCUGUGACCACAGGGGCUGCCGGUCAGCCAGCCAGAUCUCCAGCCUCAAAGCUCGGUUGGGGGCGGAGAACAAGCAGAAACACGAGAUGCCGCGGCCAGGCUAGGAGCCCGUGAGGGGAUGAAGUCCACUGACAGGUCAUGAUCUCGAGGUCCGUGAGUUCGAGCCCCGCGUCGGGCUCUGUGCUGA